AUGGCCGCGCCCACGCAGAGCAGCCCGCUCCGCCGAUGGAAGCGUUUCUUCCGCGCCUUCGACUCUGUGGACGCCGCCAUCAAGCCCUCCGACCCUGACCACUCACGCGACGAGCUCCGGCGCGCCAGGGUCAACAUCGUGGAGCAGCUCUGCGACGCCGCCGACGACGAUCAGGCGGAGCGCCUCUGCAAGAUUCUCGACGACCACAUGGCGGAGUCCCUUGAGACGCUGCGGCUGGUUCCGGUGAUGCCAAGCGUGUUGGCCUCCACGGACCUCGGCAAGUCCGUCUGCGCGCUGCGCAGGCACGAGUCGGAGCGCGUCCGCGUCCUGGCCAGAGGUCUCGUGAGCGGGUGGAGGGCGUCGAUGAAGGACGAACUCGCCAAGGUCAGAGACGCUCUGCACAAGCUUGACAACAUCAACGUGCCGCAGAACAAGGAGGUCACCAUCGAUCAGCAGACCGUGGGAAUCAGCAAGAAGGCGUCCCCCGCCGGUGACCGUGCUGGGCUCUGCUCCGAGGAGAAGAUGGAAGCUGCGAAACGCAAGUUCCACCAAGCUUACCAAGAAGCAGAGGACGCCAAACGGCGGCGCAGGACGCAGUUGGUGCAGGCGCCCAAGAUGAUGCAGCCAAUCAGGAGGUGCACCAGCUCCAUGGUCAAGAAAACCUUCGCGAUCAAGACGCAGCUUCACAUGGCUUAG
RNAcentral lists this ribosomal RNA (696 nucleotides) under Triticum aestivum (bread wheat). Its description in RNAcentral is "partial small subunit ribosomal RNA". Lineage: Eukaryota; Viridiplantae; Streptophyta; Magnoliopsida; Poales; Poaceae. The record is from RNAcentral.